GACGAACGCUGGCGGCGUGCCUAAUACAUGCAAGUAGAACGCUGAAGGAGGAGCUUGCUUCUCUGGAUGAGUUGCGAACGGGUGAGUAACGCGUAGGUAACCUGCCUGGUAGCCGGGGAUAACUAUUGGAAACGAUAGCUAAUACCGCAUAAGAGUAGAUGUUGCAUGACAUUUGCUUAAAAGGUGCAAUUGCAUCACUACCAGAUGGACCUGCGUUGUAUUAGCUAGUUGGUGGGGUAACGGCUCACCAAGGCGACGAUACAUAGCCGACCUGAGAGGGUGAUCGGCCACACUGGGACUGAGACACGGCCCAGACUCCUACGGGAGGCAGCAGUAGGGAAUCUUCGGCAAUGGACGGAAGUCUGACCGAGCAACGCCGCGUGAGUGAAGAAGGUUUUCGGAUCGUAAAGCUCUGUUGUAAGAGAAGAACGAGUGUGAGAGUGGAAAGUUCACACUGUGACGGUAUCUUACCAGAAAGGGACGGCUAACUACGUG
RNAcentral lists this ribosomal RNA (495 nucleotides) under uncultured bacterium. RNAcentral describes it as "partial 16S ribosomal RNA". It matches the Rfam family "Bacterial small subunit ribosomal RNA", at positions 28 to 507 of the family's 1533-position model. The record is from RNAcentral.